UAGCUGAUGAUCAUAGAUUUGAAGGUUUCUUGAGCCACACAUGCAUCCGACCUCCACAGAUAUUCAUACGAGACUCUAAUUUGAUCAGAGAUAUGGUGAUCUCAUCGGGUUGCUAGCUUCCUUGCAGAGAUCUUCUCUUGAUGGUUGAUCUGGCUCCUUUAAAUCUCUUGGACUCUUCCAGGAGAAGGACUUGGAGGGAGAGGAGGUAGAGGAAGACUCUCGAGAACACUUUCUCUCUUCCAAAACCCACGCCU
RNAcentral lists this long non-coding RNA (254 nucleotides) under Elaeis guineensis (African oil palm). RNAcentral's name for it is "long non-coding RNA (EGUI_LNC028523)". The record is from RNAcentral. Lineage: Eukaryota; Viridiplantae; Streptophyta; Magnoliopsida; Arecales; Arecaceae.